Molecule: ribosomal RNA, 370 nt
Filed under: uncultured cyanobacterium
Lineage: Bacteria; Bacillati; Cyanobacteriota
Description: bacterial SSU rRNA
Rfam family: Bacterial small subunit ribosomal RNA
Source: RNAcentral
GACGGAGCAACGCCGCGUGAGGGAGGAAGGCCUGUGGGUUGUAAACCUCUUUUCUCAGGGAAGAAGAUCUGACGGUACCUGAGGAAUCAGCAUCGGCUAACUCCGUGCCAGCAGCCGCGGUAAGACGGAGGAUGCAAGCGUUAUCCGGAAUUAUUGGGCGUAAAGCGUCCGCAGGCGGCUCAUCAAGUCUGCUGUCAAAAUCCAGGGCUCAACUCUGGCUGGGCAGUGGAAACUGGUGAACUUGAGUACGGUAGGGGUAGAGGGAAUUCCUGGUGUAGCGGUGAAAUGCGUAGAUAUCAGGAAGAACACCGGUGGCGAAGGCGCUCUACUGGACCGUAACUGACGCUCAUGGACGAAAGCUAGGGGAGCG